This 72-nucleotide transfer RNA is filed under the name Stegodyphus mimosarum. It matches the Rfam family "tRNA". From Rfam's summary of the family: Transfer RNA (tRNA) molecules are approximately 80 nucleotides in length. Their secondary structure includes four short double-helical elements and three loops (D, anti-codon, and T loops). The record is from Rfam by way of RNAcentral. Lineage: Eukaryota; Metazoa; Arthropoda; Arachnida; Araneae; Eresidae.
GCCUUCGUGGUGUAGUGGUCAGCACGCUGGGUCAGCUUUUAGAGGUCCGUGGUUCGAGUCCUGGCGAAGGCG